GGGGCUGUGGCUCAGUGGGAGAGCAUCUGCUGGACAGGCAGGAGGUCCCAGGUUCGAUCCCCGGCACCUCCA
RNAcentral lists this transfer RNA (72 nucleotides) under Sphaerodactylus townsendi. RNAcentral's name for it is "tRNA-Val". It matches the Rfam family "tRNA". Rfam says of the family: Transfer RNA (tRNA) molecules are approximately 80 nucleotides in length. Lineage: Eukaryota; Metazoa; Chordata; Lepidosauria; Squamata; Sphaerodactylidae. The record is from RNAcentral.